This 1686-nucleotide long non-coding RNA is filed under the name Cercocebus atys (sooty mangabey). RNAcentral describes it as "lncRNA (ENSCATG00000045491.1)". Lineage: Eukaryota; Metazoa; Chordata; Mammalia; Primates; Cercopithecidae. The record is from RNAcentral.
CCCUGAGGAGACAGCGGGCAGCAGGCUAGGGGCUGGGCGGCGGUUGAGACAGCGGCUGUAUUGGGGGAUAGGUGACGGUCGCGAGGCUGCCUGAGCUUCUGAGUGAGCUCGGAGCUUUGGAGAACGCGUGAGGGGCGACCUGCGGCGCCAGGAGCGGGCAGAGGCGCGGCGGCGCGGCUGCAGUCUGGGUGGGAAGUUACGGUUUACAGCGAAGUCCACCCAGCGUUUCCGAGGUGAGGGCGCCGCGCCUGGCCGGGCGGGCGGUGAGUCCGGGACCGCGGGUGCACAGCUGGGUCGAGCUGCGGCUGUCCCAAGUUUUGCUGCGAGCGGCGGCGGAGGAGCGGCGGGGGGGAUGGGGAGGCGUGUGCUGCGGCGCCGCCGGGGCCUAAGUUCCCUGCGCUCGAUUCCUCGCCUGCCGCUGCCGCCCGCACCCCACCUCUCGUGGGCGCCGGGGCAGAAACUCGCUAGUGGGUGUUCUGUGGCAUCCCAGGGGGUGGAGGGACGGAGCAGCUUCGGGGGCAUGUCCUCGUAUAUCCUGUGGAGGACACUGACCCCGCAUCCCACCCUUGAGGCCAGAAAUCAGUUCCCUCUGGGGACCUGAGAGGCGAGAGCGCUCGCGUCCCUGACUUGCAAAGUUGGGGUCUUUAGUGGCCUUCGGGAUUUUGCUCCUGUCGGUGUCUCCAGGCUGGUGAUGGGCAAGCCAGGUGUGCCAGGUCCAGGAUGCACGUGAGGAGCGUUUGUAGCCAUCACUGAAUCACCUCAUGACUAGCGGGACAAGCCUCAAAUUAACCGCAGGGUUUCCGGGCCUCACUCUGUUGCCCAGGCUAGAGUGCCAUGGCAGGAUCUCAGCUCACUGCAACCUCCACCUCCUGGCUCAAGCAAUCCUCCCACCUCAGCCUCCUGAGUAGCUGCAACUAUAGGCAAUCUGAAGGCAAAUGCUGUUUAGAUGCAGGCGAAGGUUCCUGGUGACCCAGGCUCUCACCAGCAGAUUGUCCCUUACCGUCCUCCUGAGGGUGUCUGGAGCUUCAGUGCUGUGUGCUCUUGGCCUCCACACUGGGGUGCCACCGACUCCCACUGUCCAGGGCUUCCAGUGGACUCUCCGAGGCACUGAUGCAGAAACUUCCCCAUUCGGUGCACCAAGAGCAGCCUCACACGGUGUGGGCCGACAGGAAGAGCUGCCAGAUCCAACAGAAAUGUGAUUGAUAACAGUAAAGCCACACUCCUCACAUGCCUGAAAUACCCCUCAUUGUCUUCUUCAGGUGGCAAGGGCUCUGGAACAGCCACAUAAAGGUGAGGGCAAGAUUUUUACUGUAGUUCUUUCGUUGAUUGAUUGAUCGAUUGAUUGAUUUUCUCUUAGAGGGGUUAGCAUCCAUGUAUUUGAAAUUGAAAUUCAAGAGGAGAGACAGGCACCUGUACUAGUUUUCUCUUGCUGCCUAUUAUCACAUUACCACAAACCAGUGGUUUGAAACCACGGAAGUCUGGAAUGAAGUGGCUGGGUUCUCUGAUCAGAGUCAUGUGAGGCUAAAAUCCAGGAUUGGGCUGGCUGUGUUAUGUUUUCUAGAGCUCAAGCUAUUUUUCCAAGUUCACUACAGAUAUUGAAAGAGUUCCUAUUCUUGUUUGUGGGGGACUGAGGGCUCUUUGUCUGUGCUGGCUGUCAGCCCGGAGACACUCUGACUCCAGAGGCCA